Molecule: long non-coding RNA, 1041 nt
Organism: Hevea brasiliensis (rubber tree)
Lineage: Eukaryota; Viridiplantae; Streptophyta; Magnoliopsida; Malpighiales; Euphorbiaceae
Exons: 3
Source: RefSeq, a predicted model, not a curated record
UUGACAGGGAGAAAGAUGUGUUCUCCUUCUCCCUCAAUUUUUAGGUUACCUACUCUUCCUUUUCCUUUCCUUUAUCUAUAAGUUUCUUCUGUGUUUGCUUUAAAAAUUGACUAAACUCACACUGCCAUUACCCUUACCGCAUUGCUUGAUUGAAAAUUAGUGGAGCUUUUUUCUUCUCUUUUCUUUCGGUUUUUGUUUACCUAUUGUCUUACUCUUCCGUUUUUGCCUCCUUUUCCUGUCCUUUGUCUGUCAAUUUCUGCUGUUUCCAUAAAAACCUGGCCAAUAGCAAACCCACCUCCACAUGGUGUGAAGCUUUGACCUUUUGUUGCAAAUGGGUACCUUUAGGUGAUGUUUCUGAGCGCUUGAGCACUCUUCUUCAUGUCAUGCAACUCUGACCAUUUUCAAUUGGUUUUCCAGCCAUGGUGAAAUGGUGGCUGGGGUUGCUCUUUAAUUUGCCCAUGCCCUGUGGAUAAGAUCUCUCUUUCUCCUGUCUCACUCUACCUAUUGAAAGAUAUUACAUUCAUUGAAUAUUACAUUAAUCGAGUAUACUCCAUAUUUUCCUCCAACAUCUAUUUGUGACAUUCAGGCUUUACACUGUCUAACAAUUGUCCAGUCCUCAGAAUUCUCCUGCUCCAGUUGUCCCAACACUUGUUUGUUCCCCAUUGUUCAAGUUUAUUCCAAGAGAUUGGAGACUCUUGACUCAAAUCCACAACUAGCUUCUUCAUCGGAAGAUCCUACCUCCUCCACUGAUAAUUAGUCUGACCUAGAUCUUUCUAUUGUCCUUCGCAAGAGAAAAGCAACCAGACCUAAAGAACAGUUGGCAAUUGAAGAGGACCCAGAUAAGAAGAACAAGAAAGGCAACUUUUCUAUAAUGGCAUCAUCCCUUUGCUUACUGCAUAACCAAGAGUUCAAUAAAUUAAUGUAAGUGAAAUGUUCUUCCUUUUUUAGCCCCAAUUAACAAUCAAAUUGGUGAUGAUUACUUUAACUCAGAUGCAAUCUCAGAACUAAGGAUAUAUAUACAUUUUUUUUUAAGUUUACACA